This 67-nucleotide transfer RNA is filed under the name Cryptocercus hirtus. Its description in RNAcentral is "tRNA-Tyr". It matches the Rfam family "tRNA". From Rfam's summary of the family: Transfer RNA (tRNA) molecules are approximately 80 nucleotides in length. The record is from RNAcentral. Lineage: Eukaryota; Metazoa; Arthropoda; Insecta; Blattodea; Cryptocercidae.
AGUAGGAUGGCUGAGGGGAAUAGGCUAUAGAUUGUAAAUCUAUUUAGGGGAUAAUUCUCUUCUACUA